UACGUAGGGUGCAAGCGUUGUCCGGAAUUAUUGGGCGUAAAGAGCUCGUAGGCGGUCUGUUGCGUCGGCUGUGAAAACCCGGGGCUCAACCCCGGGCCUGCAGCCGAUACGGGCAGACUAGAGUUCGGCAGGGGAGACUGGAAUUCCUGGUGUAGCGGUGAAAUGCGCAGAUAUCAGGAGGAACACCGGUGGCGAAGGCGGUUCUCUGGGCAUGUCCUGACGCUGAGGAGCGAAAGUGUGGGGAGCGAACAGG
This 253-nucleotide ribosomal RNA is filed under the name uncultured bacterium. RNAcentral's name for it is "partial 16S ribosomal RNA". It matches the Rfam family "Bacterial small subunit ribosomal RNA", at positions 524 to 776 of the family's 1533-position model. The record is from RNAcentral.